Molecule: unclassified non-coding RNA, 278 nt
Filed under: plant metagenome
Description: partial contains small subunit ribosomal RNA and internal transcribed spacer 1
Rfam family: Eukaryotic small subunit ribosomal RNA (bases 1-54)
Source: RNAcentral
GGAAGUAAAAGUCGUGACAAGGUUUCCGUAGGUGAACCUGCGGAAGGAUCAUUAUCGAAAUACUUAUUUAGCGUUCCGUGCUAUCCCAUUGUUUUAUUUACCCUGUCGCUUCCACUGGAUGAGUUUCCAUACCUUGUGUUUGAGAAACUUUGGCUUGUGUAAGAUUCAUUCACGGCCAGCCAGUGAGAAGACCAUUUACAAAACCCUGUUAAGAACCAAUUGUCUGAAGAUUUUACUCCAAUGAAAUAAAACUUUCAACAACGGAUCUCUAGGCUCUU